GCCGGAGUGGCGAAAUUGGUAUACGCACUGGACUCAAAAUCCAGCGGUCGCAAGGCCAUGAGAGUUCGAGUCUCUCCUCCGGCA
RNAcentral lists this transfer RNA (84 nucleotides) under Candidatus Uhrbacteria bacterium RIFCSPHIGHO2_12_FULL_54_23. RNAcentral describes it as "tRNA-Leu". It matches the Rfam family "tRNA". From Rfam's summary of the family: Transfer RNA (tRNA) molecules are approximately 80 nucleotides in length. Their secondary structure includes four short double-helical elements and three loops (D, anti-codon, and T loops). The record is from RNAcentral. RNAcentral also lists the same sequence under 2 other names. Lineage: Bacteria; Candidatus Uhriibacteriota.